Molecule: long non-coding RNA, 589 nt
Organism: Esox lucius (northern pike)
Lineage: Eukaryota; Metazoa; Chordata; Actinopteri; Esociformes; Esocidae
Source: Ensembl
CCUGUGUUUGUUAGUGUGUCUGUGUCUUUCCCGAACUUGUGUGUAUACAGUAUGUGCGUGCCAGGUCUCUUUCUAAUUCACAGCCACUUUGUUCCGAGGCUUGCAGAGAGCUGGGGCGUCUACGCUUCUCUUUGAUGUUCCCCUGCUUGUGUUCUACCAUGUGAGUGUCACCAUGAACAAGAGGAAUGGUGGCAUUGACAUUCAUCAGUUUUUUGUGCAGAAAAGUUGAGAGCAGUGAGAAGAUUACUAUCAGUUAAAUGCAGAUGAUAAGUAUGCAGUAGUACAAGAGUUAUGAGAGAGAAGGCGUGAGGAUGCCAACAGGGCAGGGAGAGCAGGUGACAUGGAGUGGUUUUGGUUACAAUGUCCUGCUGAAAGACUCAUGACCUUGGAUGGAGACCCAGUAUUCUGACAGUGGGUUUGACAUUGUGCUUCAGAAUGUCUUGGAAUUCAACUGAUUUCAUGACGCCAGGCACUCAGUGGCAGACAUUCUCCCAGAUGGAUUGUGGCAUGUUCAGGUCUGCUUUGGCAAAUUGCAGCCUGGCUGGCUUGUGUCUGUCUCUCAGCAGUGGGGUCCCCCUGGGUCUCUUAC